CGUAGGGUACGAGCAUUAAUCGGAAUUAUUGGGCGUAAAGGGCGCGUAGGCGGAAUUGUAAGUCAGAUGUGAAAUACCAAAGCUCAACUUUGGUGCUGCAUUUGAAACUACAAAUCUCGAGGACGUGACGGAGAAAGCGGAAUUCCACGUGUAGCGGUGAAAUGCGUAGAUACGUGGAGGAACACCGGUGGCGAAAGCGGCUUUCUAGUUUUUACCUGACGCUGAGGCGCGAGAGCAAGGGGAGCAAACAGGAUUAGAUACCCUGGUAGUCCUUGUCGUAAACGAUGUGUACUUGAUGUAGCUGGGCUCAACCCUAGCUGUAUCGGAGCUAACGCGUUAAGUACACCGCCUGAGGAGUACGCUCGCAAGGGUG
Molecule: ribosomal RNA, 373 nt
Filed under: uncultured organism
Description: bacterial SSU rRNA
Rfam family: Bacterial small subunit ribosomal RNA
Source: RNAcentral